RNAcentral lists this ribosomal RNA (483 nucleotides) under uncultured bacterium. RNAcentral describes it as "partial 16S ribosomal RNA". It matches the Rfam family "Bacterial small subunit ribosomal RNA", at positions 28 to 507 of the family's 1533-position model. The record is from RNAcentral.
GACGAACGCUGGCGGCGUGCCUAACACAUGCAAGUCGAGCGGGGAUUUAAGUGGAAGUUCUUCGGAAUGGAGAUUUAAAUUCUAGCGGCGGACGGGUGAGUAACGCGUGAACAAUCUGUCCCGGACAGGGGGAUAACACUUGGAAACAGGUGCUAAUACCGCAUAAGACCACGGCCUCGCAUGGGGCUGAGGUAAAAGGAGCAAUCCGGUUCGGGGUGAGUUCGCGUCCGAUUAGCUAGUUGGUGAGGUAACGGCCCACCAAGGCGACGAUCGGUAGCCGGCCUGAGGGGGUGAACGGCCACAUUGGAACUGAGAGACGGUCCAAACUCCUACGGGAGGCAGGCGUGGGGAAUAUUGGGCAAUGGGCGAAAGCCUGACCCAGCAACGCCGCGUGAGGGAAGAAGGUUUUCGGAUUGUAAACCUCUGUCCUAUGGGACGAAGGAAGUGACGGUACCAUAGGAGGAAGCCCCGGCUAACUACGUG